Molecule: ribosomal RNA, 492 nt
Filed under: uncultured bacterium
Lineage: Bacteria
Description: partial 16S ribosomal RNA
Rfam family: Bacterial small subunit ribosomal RNA
Source: RNAcentral
AGUGAACGCUGGCGGUAGGCCUAACACAUGCAAGUCGAACGGCAGCACAGUAAGAGCUUGCUCUUACGGGUGGCGAGUGGCGGACGAGUGAGGAAUACAUCGGAAUCUACUUUUUCGUGGGGGAUAACGUAGGGAAACUUACGCUAAUAUCGCAUACGACCUACGGGUGAAAGCAGGGGAUCUUCGGACCUUGCGCGAUUGAAUGAGCCGAUGUCGGAUUAGCUAGUUGGCGGGGUAAAGGCCCACCAAGGCGACGAUCCGUAGCUGGUCUGAGAGGAUGAUCAGCCACACUGGAACUGAGACACGGUCCAGACUCCUACGGGAGGCAGCAGUGGGGAAUAUUGGACAAUGGGCGCAAGCCUGAUCCAGCCAUACCGCGUGGGUGAAGAAGGCCUUCGGGUUGUAAAGCCCUUUUGUUGGGAAAGAAAAGCAGCAGGUUAAUACCCCGCUGUUCUGACGGUACCCAAAGAAUAAGCACCGGCUAACUUCGUG